This 462-nucleotide ribosomal RNA is filed under the name uncultured bacterium. RNAcentral's name for it is "bacterial SSU rRNA". It matches the Rfam family "Bacterial small subunit ribosomal RNA", at positions 29 to 534 of the family's 1533-position model. The record is from RNAcentral.
AACGAACGCUGGCGGCAUGCCUAACACAUGCAAGUCGAACGAGACCUUCGGGUCUAGUGGCGCACGGGUGCGUAACGCGUGGGAAUCUGCCCUUGGGUUCGGAAUAACUUCGGGAAACUGAAGCUAAUACCGGAUGAUGACGUAAGUCCAAAGAUUUAUCGCCCAAGGAUGAGCCCGCGUAGGAUUAGCUAGUUGGUGAGGUAAAGGCUCACCAAGGCGACGAUCCUUAGCUGGUCUGAGAGGAUGAUCAGCCACACUGGGACUGAGACACGGCCCAGACUCCUACGGGAGGCAGCAGUGGGGAAUAUUGGACAAUGGGCGAAAGCCUGAUCCAGCAAUGCCGCGUGAGUGAUGAAGGCCUUAGGGUUGUAAAGCUCUUUUUCAGGGAGGAAAAAAUGACGUGUACCUGAAGAAUAAGCAUCGGCUAACUCCGUGCCAGCAGCCGCGGUAAUGUGACUACUG